CCCCUCUCAUGAUCACACCUGGAGAGUUUCCAGUCCUCUACCAGUCUCGGCUAUGGGAGGGAGAGUCAAGCAGGGGCCUACCCAUCCCAUGCCUAGCUUGGCCAGUGGCUAGCGAGUGGAAGGCAACCUGCUACAAGU
Molecule: small nucleolar RNA, 138 nt
Organism: Ornithorhynchus anatinus (platypus)
Lineage: Eukaryota; Metazoa; Chordata; Mammalia; Monotremata; Ornithorhynchidae
Source: RefSeq, a predicted model, not a curated record